UCGCACGGCAACAUCAUAUCACCUUGUAUUGAAUUGCAUCGCAUCACAGUAUUCAAUUUGCAAUAGAAACUUUCUAGUGCCUCAGAAAGUUUUCUAGUGAAAAGUGUUUUCAACAGUGAAAAGAAAGUUAGUUGAAAUGACGACCCCGACUUCGACUUCACACGUGUCAGUUCCAGUUGUUGAAGAGACAAUCAGACUAGAGGAAAAGUGCAGAAUCUUUCGCGACUGCAACAGUGGAGAGUACAUCAAGACGAAGUUUUUGACGGUAUACAAAAAUUACUUGGGAGACAGAGAAUUUGUUGACAAAAUGUUUGGAGCGGGAAGAUUUUUUCCAUGUUCAAACUAUUGAAGCAUUUCGACCUUGAUUAUGAUAAUGAAAAGCAAUCCUUCACAUACACUGUCGAGUUGAUUGAAGAACAAAAACAGCAUUUGACAUGCAUGCAAUUCAUGAAAUAUACAAAGUCAAAUUAGGCGAUGGAAACGAAAUUGGAAACAAUUCUGUGAAAAUAUCUGACGAAAAGUACAUUUGGUAUUAUCUACUGAAUGACGUUCUUUUUUAUACUCUGCCAGCGGAAUAUAAAUUUGAUUGUUUCGAAACCAUAUCCGAGGGCUACGUGGAUUUUAUGAUUAAGGCUGGUCCCGAUAAGAUGGAAAUGCUUCGUGUUAUUACUCACAAUACAGCCCGUUUCAUAAUACAAACUAUGACUUUCCUAACACAGAAAGAUUGCUCUUCAAUUGACCACCAGAUUUUGCAAAAACAACUUAACCUAAUCAAUACAAAAUACAUUCAACCCUUUUUUAGUGCAAGCAGUUUUCAAGAUUUGAUAAACGCGUUUAACUUAUAUUGGAAACAUAGAGAAGAUAUUAUAACCACACUCCCUUUCAAAAUCUGUCAUCCGGGAAUGGAAUCCCUGCAGAAAGUGCUGCUGGAAAUUGUUUCGAUUGCGUUGGACAAAACAGUCGCUGCAGAAGUCCUGGAACCCUUUUUCAAAUCGUAUUGCAAGCUGUUGAUAGAUUUGAAGAAUGUUCAAUUCGGUUGGUACGUCAGAGCGUUUUCCGGUGUCAGCAUAACUAUGUCGAGGAUUUAAAAUUGAUUGAACUUUGCGAUGAAAGAUUUCUUAAUACAUACACUAAAUAUGGAAGAGUCAACACAAAAUUUAAAACCUAUAGGGUUAUAGAAGUGGACAGAUUUAUGAAAACAGCAUCAGCGCUUGUUGAAAGUUCUUUAUACCCAAGGCAUUAUGUUAUCGAAGCGCUGCUAGCCAUGCUGUCGUAUGUUAGAAAGCAACUAACGAAAGUCCAGUGGAAAACAGGUAAUAAACUAUCCGAAAUAGAGCAAGUCUGGACGGCUAAGGAGCUUCUCGAUGCUGUGAGAUAUUCUUGCAUUGAAUUCAAGAAACAAUUUUAGUAUGACUCAUUUGAAACAUUUCUGAACGAACGGACCAGGCGUUCCGCAAAUGCCAUUGCUAAUAGUGGUUCUCAUGCGGACUUUACAAAUCAAAUCUAUCCGCAUACAUUACGAGACGAUUGAUGGAUGUCAGCCGUACUUUCUUGAUAUAAAUAUCCUGGCUUAUUUUUGUUCAUUCAACCAGCAAUGUUGGAAUAAUAAAUUAAGUUUGGUAGUCUCCACCAAUAAAUAAUUUGUCCUAAUAAAAUGCUUUAAGCAGAAGUAAAA
Molecule: long non-coding RNA, 1675 nt
Organism: Wyeomyia smithii (pitcher-plant mosquito)
Lineage: Eukaryota; Metazoa; Arthropoda; Insecta; Diptera; Culicidae
Exons: 2
Source: RefSeq, a predicted model, not a curated record